Molecule: ribosomal RNA, 621 nt
Filed under: Triticum aestivum (bread wheat)
Lineage: Eukaryota; Viridiplantae; Streptophyta; Magnoliopsida; Poales; Poaceae
Description: partial small subunit ribosomal RNA
Source: RNAcentral
AUGAACGCCCGUCCCUGGAGAUCUCCUUCUUCUCGUCCUCGAGCUUGCCUCGAGCUCCGAUGCCGCCGGAGCACCAGCAGCCAACAAGAGCUCGCCGCCGGCGACCAGCAGGAUGAUGCGGACAUAGCUAGUAUAAAAACGUUUACACAUAUUACACGGCAAAUAAAUGACCAGGUAAUGUUGUUCCUCGGUGCAUAUAAUUUGACUAUAAGAAGAAGCCAAUACUAUCUUCAUGUUUUAAUCUGCUUGUACUCAGGCACAAAGGUGUUGACGAAAGAAGAUUACAUGGAGUUAGAUGCAUGCAUGGAAUCAGCCCAGCCAUCCAUGUUGUAUGCUACGUGCAACCUAGAAGAUGCAUGCAAUCAAGUCAAACAAUGGGUCCCACGUGUGCAUGCAAUCAAGAUCCUGGCAUGUUUUCACAUAUGCGUUUCGGGAGGAGUUUUGCUUGUGGCAAACACACAUGCAACACAGACGAGGAGCUAUGGCCCAUCCCUGGUGCUAGGGCCCAUCGGCCUAGAAGCGGGCGACACCAACAUAACACCAGAACGGAUACGCAUCUACGUCCAUCCAAGAGAUCUACGCAUCCCGGCUCCGUCGUAUACUCCUUCAAUAAAUAGCUAG